Molecule: non-coding RNA, 28 nt
Filed under: Rattus norvegicus (Norway rat)
Lineage: Eukaryota; Metazoa; Chordata; Mammalia; Rodentia; Muridae
Source: RNAcentral
UGGAAUAUGACCCUCAGGGAAUGUGUCU